AAGGUUCGUCCGCACCUGCUUUCAUUAAUUUGAAUGAGAUCACGUGAUCUGUUUCCUAUCCCUGUUACUUAGUAAUACAAUCUAUGUACAUACCAAGCGCUAGCGCUUGGUAAUAAUUUAUUACCUCGUUUAUUACCUAGAUAGAUAGUCUAGCCACACCCUUCAAUUAUUUUUUAAAACAAAAAUGAAGCCUAUAAUAAAAUUUGAAUUCUAAAGAUUAGUUUCUAACAUUCACAGGACUGACAGGAGUCCAUGAUCCUGAUGCAAGCUAAACAAAGUAAUAAUUAAUACCUAAAAGUAUCCACCAGGAGAGCAGGACUAAUGUAUACAGUAUUAAUCUCGAUAUAUUCAAGUGACGGAUGGGCGAAGAUAGUUUCGCAUAAAUGUUGUACUAGUUCUAUCCAAUUUGGUUGAGAUAACUCUUUUAGGUAUAAAUAGUUACACUUUAUCUUCAGUAGUCUGAUGGUUGUAUGUGACUGUAACAUUUACUGUAUGAAUAAUGCGGAUCUAGUGUGAAGUUCACUUUAAGUUCUGUCAGAUCGUUCUUUUGAGAGAUGACAUCAAUAAAAGUUCUUACCUCUUCAUUCAGUGGUAGUGGAAUAGAUUUUACACUCAACUGCUGUAGACUGGUGUUGCGUCUGAGACCAGUUGUUAUGAAGGACACGUUUGAACUAGAAAUUUUAAGGAUUUGAAGAAGAAGAAUGGGAGCAUUGUCAAAAUCAUCAGAUCUGAUAUGAUCACUGUGACUUAUUCUAAUUUCAGGAUUGUGAUAAAAGUAGGAGAGAUGACAAGUCUCAAAUCCAAACAGUGGUUUCCUCUUACAUUCUAAGCCAAGUUGUUGUUUAAAAUACUGUUGAUAGCUCUCAUGUUCAAGCUAUCCACCAUGCAGCUAG
Molecule: long non-coding RNA, 893 nt
Organism: Amphimedon queenslandica
Lineage: Eukaryota; Metazoa; Porifera; Demospongiae; Haplosclerida; Niphatidae
Exons: 5
Source: RefSeq, a predicted model, not a curated record